AGAGGGGAGUCACAAUGAAACAGGAAGGCUGUCCAAGAAGCUGGGGCCAGUGGGUGAGACUAAGGACCCAGCAACAGUGGCGCAGCCAAAGCAAGCUGCCUGGAAGCCAGUAUUCUAUUAAUUGUCUUCAGAUGAAGAUACAGAACUCUCAACUUCUCCUGUGCCAUGUCUUCCUGGAUGCUGCCAUGUUCCCGCCUUGAUGAUAACAGACUGAACCUCUGGACCUGUAAGCCAGCCCCAAUUAAAUGUUGUCCUUAUAAGAUUUGCCUUGGUCAUGGUGUGUGCGCACAGCAGUAAAACCCUAAGACGGAGGCUGAUUGUAAAUAUAAAGGUUGUGAGUUUGUCUCUCAUCCAGGAACUAAUAACCAGGGCAGGGUAGAAACCCUGGUCUGGGACUUAAAUAUUUAAUACAAUAAUACCACCAGAGCCUAGUGAGAUUUCUAGAAGCGUUGCAACUUUGAAAUGCACUCUGGGCCACCGUGAGGACAGGUUAAGGAAUCAUCUACCUCAGAUCUCAAUCGGAAGCUCUUUGCGUGAGAACUUCCUCUCCACAGCCAGCGUGCUCCAAGGAGGACAGGAACGUGAAGUCCCAUGUGGCUAGCUUCUCAUCCUGCCUGCCUCGCUG
RNAcentral lists this long non-coding RNA (625 nucleotides) under Mus pahari (shrew mouse). RNAcentral's name for it is "predicted gene 43150 (MGP_PahariEiJ_G0003223.1)". The record is from RNAcentral. Lineage: Eukaryota; Metazoa; Chordata; Mammalia; Rodentia; Muridae.